UUUCCGUAGGUGAACCUGCGGAAGGAUCAUUAAAAAAUGUUGUACCAAUUAUUGGUACUAAUUAAUCAUCCUACCCUUUGUGAAUUUGUUUGUAUGAAUUUUUUUAAAUGGGUCUUUCCCUAAGUUGGAUUGUUAGUAAAAUACAAAAAGACUUAGGGGAAUGACUUUUUUAAAAGACUUUUUUUUAAUUAAAACUUUUUGUAUUCAUUUGUCUAAAAUUUAUUUUUAUAAUAUAAAAACAACUUUUGACAAUGGAUCUCUUGGUUCUCGCAACGAUGAAGAACGCAGCAAAAUGCGAUAAGUAGUGUGAAUUGCAGAAUACGUGAAUCAUCGAAUCUUCGAACGCAUAUUGCACUUUUUUAGUUUACUAAAAAAGUAUGACUGUUUGAGUAUCAGUAAAAUAUUCUCACAAAACAUGUAUUGUUUGUGGUUAUGAGUGUUUUACAACGAUAAACAAGUUGUUUCACUUUAAAUUCUUUUUAAUUGAAUUUUACCAAUUCAUAAAUUAAAAUUGGAUAAAAUUUUCCUUUAACGAGGAAUAACCUAAACAAUUUUAAAUUUUAUGGAUUAAUAAACAUUCAUCAAAGGAAUCUAUACAACAAAUAACUUGAUCUCAAAUCAGAUAAGAGUACCCGCUGAACUUAAGCAUAUCAAUAAGCGGAGGAAAAGAAACUAACAAGGAUUCCCUUAGUAACGGCGAGUGAAGCGGGAAGAGCUCAAAUUUGAAAUCUUCAAGGUUUGACCCUGACGAAUUGUAGUUUAUAGAAGUGUUUUCUGUUGGAGUUUUGGUAAAAGUUCUUUGGAAUAGGACAUCAUAGAGGGUGAGAAUCCCGUAUUUGACCAUGACUUUCCAGCUGUGUGAUACACUUUCAAAGAGUCGGAUUGUUUGGGAAUGCAGUCCAAAAUGGGUGGUAAAUUUCAUCUAAAGCUAAAUAUUGGCGAGAGACCGAUAGCGAACAAGUACCGUGAGGGAAAGAUGAAAAGAACUUUGAAAGAGAGUUAAACAGUACGUGAAAUUGUCAAAAGGGAAGCGUUUGACACCAGUGUUGUUUUCUCGAAAAUCAAUUUAAUGAGUUCUUGUUUUUAAGUUAUUGUGACUUUAUCAGCGCAUUUCUUAUUUUACUUGACUCAUUGAAUGCACUUUUCGUUUAACAAGUCAACAUCAAUUUCUUUGGUGGUAAAAAGUUUAAAGGAAGGUGGCUUGGACUUCGGUUCAAGUGUUUAUAGCCUUUUUUCUAUGCCAUCGGAGAGAUUGAGGUCUGCAGCGUAGAUCCUUCGGGGUUAGAUACCUUUGUGCUAAGUUAUAGUUUUUUAUAGACAACUUGUUGACUAUAAUUAACCCUGUAAUUUACUCGCUUAGGCUAUUUUACCUACGCUUAGGAUGUUG
This 1387-nucleotide unclassified non-coding RNA is filed under the name uncultured Neocallimastigales. RNAcentral's name for it is "partial contains small subunit ribosomal RNA, internal transcribed spacer 1, 5.8S ribosomal RNA, internal transcribed spacer 2, and large subunit ribosomal RNA". The stretch from base 609 to 1387 matches the Rfam family "Eukaryotic large subunit ribosomal RNA", at positions 1 to 628 of the family's 3401-position model. The record is from RNAcentral. Lineage: Eukaryota; Fungi; Neocallimastigomycota; Neocallimastigomycetes; Neocallimastigales.